RNAcentral lists this ribosomal RNA (301 nucleotides) under uncultured bacterium. RNAcentral's name for it is "partial 16S ribosomal RNA". It matches the Rfam family "Bacterial small subunit ribosomal RNA", at positions 509 to 809 of the family's 1533-position model. The record is from RNAcentral.
CAGCCGCCACGGGAAUACGGAGGGAGCUAGCGUUGUUCGGAAUUACUGGGCGUAAAGCGCGCGUGGGCGGUUACUCAAGUCAGAGGUGAAAGCCCGGGGCUCAACCCCGGAACUGCCUUUGAAACUAGGUGACUAGAAUCUUGGAGAGGUCAGUGGAACUCCGAAUGUAGAGGUGAAAUUCGUAGAUAUUCGCAGGAACACCAGUGGCGAAGGCGGCUCACUGGCUUGAUACUGACGCUGAGGUGCGAAAGCGUGGGGAGCAAACAGGAUUAGAUACCCCUGUAGUCCCUGUCUCUUAUAA